GACGAACGCUGGCGGCGUGCUUAACACAUGCAAGUCGAACGAAGAGCGAUGGAAGCUUGCUUCUAUCAAUAUUAGUGGCGAACGGGUGAGUAACGCGUAAUCAACCUGCCCUUCAGAGGGGGACAACAGUUGGAAACGACUGCUAAUACCGCAUACGAUCUAAUCUCGGCAUCGAGGAUAGAUGAAAGGUGGCCUCUACAUGUAAGCUAUCACUGAAGGAGGGGAUUGCGUCUGAUUAGCUAGGUGGAGGGGUAACGGCCCAGCAAGGCGAGGAUCAGUAGCCGGUCAGAGAGGAUGAACGGCCACACUGGGACUGAGACACGGCCCAGACUCCUACGGGAGGCAGCAGGGGGGAAUCUUCCGCAAUGGACGAAAUGCUGACGGAGCAACGCCGCGGGAGUGAUGACGGCCUUCGGGUUGUAAAGCUCUGUUAAUCGGGACGAAAGGCCUUCUUGCGAACAGUUAGAAGGAUUGACGGUACCGGAAUAGAAAGCCACGGCUAACUACGUG
RNAcentral lists this ribosomal RNA (510 nucleotides) under uncultured bacterium. Its description in RNAcentral is "partial 16S ribosomal RNA". It matches the Rfam family "Bacterial small subunit ribosomal RNA", at positions 28 to 507 of the family's 1533-position model. The record is from RNAcentral.